RNAcentral lists this ribosomal RNA (278 nucleotides) under uncultured Hyphomicrobiaceae bacterium. RNAcentral's name for it is "partial 16S ribosomal RNA". It matches the Rfam family "Bacterial small subunit ribosomal RNA", at positions 54 to 354 of the family's 1533-position model. Lineage: Bacteria; Pseudomonadati; Pseudomonadota; Alphaproteobacteria; Hyphomicrobiales; Hyphomicrobiaceae. The record is from RNAcentral.
CUACCAUGCAGUCGACGCUCCAUCUAUGGAGAGUGGCAGACGGGUGAGUAACGCGUGGGAACCUUCCCUAUGGGUCGGAAUAGCCCAGGGAAACUUGGGGUAAUACCGGAUAAGCCCUUCGGGGGAAAGAUUUAUCGCCAUUGGAUGGGCCCGCGUCGGAUUAUCUAGUUGGGGGGGUAACGGGUCACCAAGGCGACGAUCCGUAGCUGGGCUGAGAGGAUGAUCAGCCACACUGGGACUGAGACACGGCCCAGACUCCUACGGGAGGCAGCAGUGGG